CCCUGGACCACAGUGGCCACUCCAGAACUCAAGCAGAAGUUCAAGAACGUUUGGAGACGCUGCAGUUUGCAAAAGUUGUUCUUAGCAAAAACCAGUGAAUGUGUUCAAUCCUAUUAAUUAUUUCUUCUGACUCACGCUGAUCAUCAUUUUAUGUAACAGUUAAUGUGUUUAUUUGGGCUGCACUGUACAGACUCAGGAGAUGUGAUGUGAACAACACUGUAAUUACAUUGAUGAAUGAUAUAUCCCUUGGUGUUAUAAACUAUAGCUGUAAACAUGACAACCGUUUUCGUUUAUUUCAAAGAUAAAUGCAGGCACGACUCUAGAUUGAGCGCAGUAUAAUUUCUUGCGGAUUAGUUUUUAAAUGACGCAGCAGUUGGCAAAUAUAAAUUAUAAAAUAGAAUAUAAAUAAUUGAAAGACAACUUUUUAAACAACACCAGAAAAGAACAAACGAAUACAACAGGAGUUCUGAAUUUAAUCUUCGGUUUCCCAUCCUGCAUAGCCCACAGCAAAUAACUUGCAUCGUUGUAGGAAGCGUGAUUAAUAACACAGCUGAAGAGGACGAACAUGCUGUAGAGCUCUUGCGAUCUCAGACCCCUAUGUUUUUUAGUUUACGUUUUUUUCAUCUAUUUUAAUGUUCCCGGACUUCGUUUUCAAACUGCCAGGUGGAGAGUCGUGAGAGGGCCUGUGGAUGUAGCUCUGACUGCAGCAGGGAAUUUUCUGCUUGUAUGUCAGCCCGAGCUGAUUAACAGGUAAAAUUCAGAGAAGAUGACGGAAAUAGCCGAUUUUUGUACCCACCUGGAUUCUAUAGGGGAAGUCACCAAGGAGGAUUUAUUACGCAAAUCCAAGGGAACAUGCCAGUCGUGUGGGGCUGCUGGACCAAACCUCUGGGCUUGUCUGCAGAGUGGAUGUCCCUAUGUAGGCUGCGGAGAGUCUUAUGCUGAUCACAGCACUUUCCACGCACAGGCUAAAAAGCACAACCUGACGGUGAAUCUGACCACAUUCCGGGUCUGGUGUUACAUCUGUGAGCGGGAGGUGUUCCUGGAGCAGCAACCAGCUGUGCCCACCCCGAGUGGUCAUCACUGCAAGCCACUGGAGCAGGGCCCUGUAUCCCAGACUGCCAGCCGGCCUCUAAAGGCUGUUCCAAUUACUGUUGCAGACGAGGGGGAAUCAGAGUCAGAAGGGGAUGAAUUUAAACCAAGAGGUCUCACUGGAAUGAAGAACAUUGGGAACUCCUGUUACAUGAAUGCUGCUUUGCAAGCUCUCUCGAACUGCCCGCCUCUGACUCAGUUUUUCCUGGAGUGCGGAGGACUGGUCCGCACAGAUAAGAAGCCGGCGCUUUGCAAGAGUUACCAGAAACUGAUUUCUGAACUCUGGCACAAGAAACGUCCCAGUUACGUAGUUCCUACCAGUCUGUCCCAUGGAAUCAAGCUGGUUAACCCCAUGUUCAGAGGCUACGCGCAGCAGGUAGGGAGAACUGCGCAGCAGGACACGCAGGAGUUCCUGCGCUGCUUGAUGGAUCAGCUGCACGAGGAGCUGAAGGAGCCCGAGUGCGGGGCGGAGUCUGACAGGGAGGAGCGGCGUGACGGGGACCGCAGCCCCUCCGAGGACGAGUUCCUGUCCUGUGACUCGGGCGCCAGCAGCGACCGGGGGGAGGGGGGCGAGGGGAUACUGAUCCAGGACGAGAGUGGGGGGAUCCGCGGGGGGAUCUCGGAGAAGGAGCGGCUGAAGGAGAGGAGGGUCUCGGGGUCUCCACGGAGAGGUGGCUCCCAGGAGAUGGACGAGGAUGCAGACAUAGACACCGCCGCGGAGGAGGGAGGGGCCACAAGGGCUGGGGACAGUGAGGAUCCACCUCCAAACAGCGUCAGCAAACAGAACCACAGAGCAGUUUCAGAACCUGACAAUGACGCAUUGCUGCACAGCCUCUCGCGCUCCUGCAGUCCCAGCCACGGCCACCAGGAGGCCCACCCCAAACUGUCCAGCAGCCCGCCUCGCUCCAGCCCCCUGCGCAUCGCGGGCACAGCAUACUCGCUCAAGAAAGCUCAGCUCCUCCUGGGUGCCAAGAAGAAGCAGCAGCCCCGGUACCGCAGCGUUAUCUCGGACAUCUUUGACGGCUCCAUCCUCAGCCUGGUCCAGUGUCUCACCUGCGACAGGGUGGGUACGGAGGUUUCAACCACUGUGGAGACUUUCCAGGACUUGUCUCUGCCGAUCCCGGGAAAGGAGGAUCUUGCCAAACUACACUCCUCCAUCCACCAAAGCAUUCCUGCCAAAAACGAGACCUACGGCUCCCAGGGCUGGAUCUCCUACAUCAUGGACUAUAUCCGCAGGCUCGUGUCCUGUAUCCCCAGCUGGUUUUGGGGUCCAGUUGUCACUCUGGAGGACUGCCUGGCUGCCUUCUUUGCUGCGGAUGAGCUGAAAGGUGAUAAUAUGUACAGCUGUGAAAGAUGUAAAAAAUUAAGAAAUGGUGUUAAAUACUGCAAGGUUCUCCGUCUGCCUGAAAUCCUUUGUAUUCAUCUCAAGCGCUUUCGCCAUGAGGUCAUGUACUCCUUCAAAAUCAACAGCCAUGUCUCCUUCCCAUUGGAGGGGCUUGAACUCCGACCUUUCCUAGCCAAGGAGAGCCCUUCCCAGAUCACAACUUACGACCUGCUCUCUGUGAUCUGUCACCACGGGACCGCGGGAAGUGGUCACUACAUUGCAUACUGCCAGAAUGUAAUAAACGGUCAGUGGUACGAGUUUGAUGACCAGUAUGUCACGGAGGUUCACGAGACAGUGGUGCAGAGUGCCGAGGCCUACGUCCUGUUUUACAGGAAGAGCAGCGAGGAGUCUGUGCAGGAGAGGCAGAAGGUGGUAGCCCUGGCUAACAUGAAGGAGCCCAGCCUGCUGCAGUUCUACAUCUCCAGGGAGUGGCUUAACAAGUUCAACACCUUCACGGAGCCCGGUCCCAUCGCCAACCACACCUUCCUCUGCACGCACGGAGGGAUCCCACCCAACAAGUAUCACUACAUCGAUGACUUGGUGGUGAUCUUGCCCCAGAGCGUGUGGGAGUAUCUCUAUAACAGUUUUGGUGGAGGUCCUGCUGUAAACCACCUCUAUGUGUGCUCCAUCUGUCAGGUGGAAAUCGAGGCCCUGGCCAAGCGCAGGAAGCUGGAGAUCGAUACCUUCAUCAAGCUGAACAAGGCUUUCCAGGCAGAGGAGUCCCCCAGUGUCAUCUACUGUAUUGGCAUGCAGUGGUUCAGAGAGUGGGAGAGCUUUGUCAAGGGCAAGGACAAUGAGCCACCCGGCCCCAUUGACAACAGCAGAAUUGCAGUGAUGAAAGGAGGCCAUGUCCAGCUCAAGCAAGGAGCUGACUACGGUCAGAUCUCCGAGGAGACGUGGAAUUACCUGUUUUCCAUCUAUGGAGGCGGUCCUGAGAUUGCGGUGCGGCAGAGCGUCUCUCAGCCCGACACGGAGAGCCUUCACGGAGAGCACAAGAUUGAAGCGGAGACGAGGGCCUUGUGAAGCCCAAAGAGCUGCCAAAAAAAAAAAGAUCCACAAUGAGGGGUCUCGCUUUAUCCCGAAAGAAACUAGUGACACUGACUCUGUACCCUCACAAACCUGCUGACCAUUGAGGUAGCAGUGACACUAAUUGGAUACACCGUCAUGGGCAGACUGCAAAAUCCAGACCGGGCCUCGGCCUAAACCAACACGACAUCCGGACAACACAAGUAUCCUAUAAGACUUGAAUCUGCCAAGACUGCGUCUAAUCAGAUAUUGGUUUCACCAAAUUAUCUGUGAUUAUCUAGUAGGAUGUUUGCUUAUAUCUGGAUUUUACCAUUUUGUUGAUAUCUUAUAGGACAAUGCAAUAGAUUUCUAGAUAUAAUGAAUAGGACAUUGGGUUAAGUCUUAGAGGACUUGCCUGAGAACUGGCUUUUGAGUUCAAUCUCAAAGAUUUUUUGCUAUAAACUGCUGGAUAUUUGCCUCAAUCUGAAACCACAUUUUUGGGGGGUUUCACAUCAUUCAGGACUUAAACUGGCAGGACUUAGCUGGUCAACUUUACCAGCCCCUUGCUGCAUGUAAAAUAUAUUUAUAUUCAUUGAGCACAGCCCACAGAAGUUUGUGAUCUGGGUGAAAUGUUAAAGCGAUGGAGAAAAUGAAGGAUCUUCUGGACUGACCAAGUCAAGUUGGCUAUUGACUGUCUGAAGACGGUGCAAUUCAGUGGACCACUUUGAAGAACUCAUUUCAAAUGCAUGGUUAAGGAAUGAGUUGAGAUCUGGAAUACAUAAUUAUAAUGUUUUGAAUUUGCUUUUUAAAAGCUGCUCUCCCCUUUCUUGAAGGCUUGUAUUGCUAAACAGGAGCCAAGAGCAUUUUGUUCAACAAAGAAGACUGAACUAGGUCCUCUGACUGAACUUGUAGAAGCGAGAUCAAACUAUUUAUGUGCAUUCCCUUCAUGCUUUCUGCUUACCCCAGCCCCCCCCCCCCCCACCCUGCCCGAGGGAAAUAAAAAACCUCAUAGUCUGACAAAUUAACAGACUGAUACUUGUCAAUGGUGUGUGUCUUCCAAUUACUGGAAGUGAUUGCAUCUACUAUAAGGAUGUUCGACUCGUAAUCCGUCUAUAGGGGAGACGUCCAGAGUAUUUUUCUCACUGAAAGAGCCGGUUCCAGAAUCGCAAUGGGAUGUGUGAUGUGCUCGCCGCUGUUAGAGAUGUGGAAUGUGUCCACCAAGCAGCCAGGAAUUAACUGCCUGGAGCUGUCUAUAUUUCCUGAGUCCUGUGUCCAUGGUUACCAAAGAGUGUCUGGACUCCAUUACGUGUCUUCUUUCUCGGAUGCUGAGGACUGUUGUGAUAAUGUCAGCCACAACAGCCCCUCUUUGACGGACGCCUCAGAUACUGAGGAGUAAAUCAAAAGGACGUUGUUUUCAUUCUUAUGAUGAGGGCAGUUGUCUGAGUCUGCUUCUGUUGUAAUAUUGGUGGCACGUGUCUUUUCUCCAACAGUAUAACAUGAUAUUCCCAUUUCAGUCUUCUGUACACAUCUUCUGUUCAGUGGAAAAAAAAAUAAAGACCUGCCAUAACACUGUCAAUGGGAUGUAGACACUACAGGACGGCACUAGCGUGUAAACACUCCUGCAAGGUGUUUAAAUUGUUCUGCAAAGAUAUGCGACAUUCCUCAGUGUUUGAUGCCGUUAGGAAAGUUGGCUUGUAAUCAGCAAUCGUAUCCUUUACGCAAAAUGCUACAUGGGUUUUUGAAACUGUUACAAAAUGGGUGUUUUUAUGUUUUGUCCAGCUUCAUUAUAUUGUGUAGAAUCACUAACCCUUCUUGGUGCAGCAGUGUAAAAAUGAUGCCUCCCAUUACCCAGAUAAUGUCAUUGUCUCUCUGCAGUGUUUGAUCUAGGGUUUGCUGAUGUGAUCCUCCAAAGAAUAAUGAACAUGGUCUUGAACAUCAAUUGUGAGCACUAAAAGCAGAGCCCACUUAUCUUUGGUAGUCUUCAGACCAUUAAAUAGCCUAGUUCCUAUAACAGACUUGUUAGUCUGGUAAUUCUAUUAUUUAACCUCCAUUACUCUAGAUAGCCCCAAGAUAGGUGAAACACUCAAACCAAAUCUACCCAAGGAGAGACUGUCUUGUUGAAACCACAGGUUGGGCAGUCUAAGAUCUAUUUUCUGCACAGAAGUAUCUCAAUACUGUAACACGCUUCCUCCCCUGUCAGACUAAAGCAUGCUUUUGACAAAUGGCAUCCUAUCGCUGCUUGUCAGCAUAACACCCUUUGAUCCAGAGUCUGAAGGAGGAAUGUACCAGAUUUUUGUGCUGCUGUGUUCGCAGUGUAAGUGGAAACUUGCUUUAGAGGGAGCAUUGUUCUUUGUGUUGCAUGAGCGCACAGUGUAGAGAGACCAAAGUUACCCAGCACCCUCUUCAGGGUAGCAUAGAAGCUUGUAGGCUGGGCCAUGUGAGAGGAGGCAUGUCAAUUGACUCUGUGUGUACACUACAGACUACAAGGUACAAAGGGUAAUAAUUCCAUCAAGUUUUAGUAUUGAACUGCAAGUGAAUUGCAAGGCCGCAAGCACUGAAGCUGUCUCUGGACAUUUUGUAUGCAUUUUCAUAUUCUGGUUUUUUUUUUGUUUUGUUUUUUUUUGUCUGAUUUUGUUUCCGUGAUUUCUCUUUUGUCAUUUACCAACAGGAAGAAAUAAAAUAACACUUGAUUGCAUUUUGGUAGAAUAUCGUUUUGUGACAGAAUAUAGCAAAUCCAAUUAGCCUGCCACAGAUCGACCACAGAAGGGCUUGUGGAAAUGAUGUUCUGCUAAUUUGAGGUGAGAAAAUGUUUUGUUAAAAGCCUUUUUUGCACAAAAAUGGCUCUGUUUUAAUCAAUGAAUCCAGAGAAGUUGUAUAGUUGGUGACUUCAUCACACCCUUUUAAUGAAUGAAGCACCUACUGCACGUGCUGGCAGCAGGUUUACUUGGACGUUUUUCUACAAGGACUGAAUGUCAUUAUUCUAGGAGUGGUUGUAAUUGCUCAUUCAACAUAUCUUACCAAAGUGAGUGAUUCUGAGUAACCUCUACCCUGGUCAGACCACCUGUUUUCUCUCCAUGGUUUCAAAUGCUUUUCUUUAAUGAGUGGGACUCACUGUGCAAACCUGAACUUGAAUAUAAACCUUGACACAUUCCAUUCCAUUUGAUACAUAUACUGUAUCAGUAAUUUAAAUCCGAUUGAAUUACAAAAAAAUUAUCCUUUGCUAUCUCAAAGCAGCUGUUUCUUCAAACGCUAACAUGCACUAGAUUCGUUUUAGCAGUCCCUUUUGGGUAGGGCUGUGCUUUGGUAUGUUAUCACUUCUUAAAUAACUUUUCAUUAUAACUUUAGUAUAAAAUAUGAGGCUAUUUAUAGUUAUCUGAAUAUGCACGUCAUUGAGGUGGGGGAAAGUUUCCUUUACUCAUUAUACCUUUAAAUACUAGCUUGCAUGCCUCUUGGAAGCAGUGUAUUAUUAGUCACAGGGCUUUGUAAAACAACUGAAAGUAAUUAAAAACAGCUUCACAUCACUCCACAAGGCAAUCAAUAUUCUAACUCAGAUAUGUAGAAAACGCCCACGGAGCAUUAGAAAUAUGAUUGUACCUAUUCAUAAAGGACUGCUAACCAAGCUCUGUCUUUCUACUAAUAUUUUAAAUGUGAUCCUUUUUAAAUAUUGCUCAAUACUUUAUUUGUGUAAAUUUGGCAUCCAACAUGUGAAAUCCCUUUUUUCUAUGCUUUAAUACACAGCCCAAAGCAAGAUUAAUGGGCAUGCAUCCUUAGAAAUGCUGCGUAACAGAUUGUUAUAAUAAUAUCCAUUUCUUACAUUCCUUGCUUUAAAACGCUUGUUUUAUGUUGACGUGAGCAGACCAUAAUAGCUAUCGGCUCAUUAAGUUUUUUCCAAGCAGAAUCGCCAGAGCCGACAUCAAAGCUGAAAAGCUUUUAUUGAUGUUUUUCCCCCAAAGCGUAGGCCUGGUGAGUAAAUUGGGUAGGUGUAAAAAGGACGUCUUGCAACAUCAGUUAAAUACAUCCUGUGACUCCUUGUUUUACACACAAAAAAAAAAAAAACACACCAGUAAAGCUAAACAAAACUCAAACAGGUUAGGUGGACGCUCUGAGGUUUUUAGUUUUGAUAGAUAGGGGUUGUAAAUAGUUUAUGAAAACAUUAAGUACAAAACUAUGAGGGGGCAGCUACAUGUGGGCAGUGUAUGCUGCUAGAAUGUUCUGUUGCCUGAGAAAGGGGCAAUUAAAUGAGCAGAACUGACCUCCCUAACCUGUUGGAAGUAAAGUCCCUUUCACACUGGCGCUCCUUCUCCGGUCCUGAAUUUACCCGGGUCAAAAUCCUGUGUAGUGUAAAACCACGUAACAGAUUGCUGCAGGGAUGGCGUGGAGCGAUGAAGAAGCAUUUGCUCUAAUCAACGUUUGGGCCGAUGAUUCAAUCCAGAGGAGUUUGGAUGGAAUCAUUCAUAACAAGCACGCCAUCUUGAAAGCCUGAACCGAUGAAAGGGUGGUCAUGUGAACGCCCGAUGCUUCUUCCACAAACUGGUAACUGAUAUCAUUGCUUGAUUUCUGUUAAUAACUAGUGGCCUUGUUGUGUCUAAUGAUAAUGAUUAAGCUGUAAAAGUGUGACUUUUGAUUAUUGGAAUCAAUAAAGGAAAGUUAUAAAAUUAUGCCU
RNA transcript from Acipenser ruthenus (sterlet), 8141 nucleotides. It is a transcript of the gene named ubiquitin carboxyl-terminal hydrolase 20-like, with no coding region annotated. The record is from RefSeq and is a predicted model, not a curated record. The transcript is spliced from 27 exons. Lineage: Eukaryota; Metazoa; Chordata; Actinopteri; Acipenseriformes; Acipenseridae.